AAAAAUCGACCUGUCACCAUAACACAUUGCACCAACAACUCUUCAUGGAUUUGAAUUUGCAGCCAAAGGGACCUUGCUGCAGGUGGCAUUAGUACUUUAUGGUACCAUAUAUACCAUGCAGCUCCCCAAGAAGAAGAAUGGUGAGAUGGGUGUAUUUCUGUUGUCAACCGGGUGAGUGGAUUCCAUGCUAUGCUUGUGAAGUGAUCAGUCUUUUGCAGAUCAGUCUUUGUUUCGUUGUCUGUUCGACCUUGAACAUGCGUGUUUGGGAUUACAUAUUAAAACCUAAUUAGCUAGAAUUUCUUUGCUAGCUCCAUCAUGAUGCGACAAAAACAAAUCUAUUAAUUAUUAUCAUAUAUAUACAUAACCAUUCCAUGGGUUACAAAAUCCUAUGUAUUUCUUCUUAACACGAUUUUCUUGAUCAUUAAGAUCUAAAUCUGACGAGAAAGCUCUGCAGGUCAUCGAAAUUGGUGAUGACUAACACCCUGACUUCUUUUGUCUCUUUUUUUUUUACCUUGCUCUGCAGGUCAUCGAAAUUGGUGGUGACUAACACCCUGACUUCUUGUCUCUUUUUUUUUUAACCUUUCCUUUGUCAUGAGAAAAACAAUAUAAUUACUGAUCGGUGCAAGAACUAUAUAGUAAAAGCUUUGAGAUCAAUUGGGUUGCUAAAGAAAAAUAAAUUAGAAGUAAUUAAACCAUUUUUAUCCAAAAAGGAAAACCAAGAAUGAUAAAAUGAUAGUUCGAACAGAAUAAGAAGCUUUAAGGUCGAACACAUGACGAAUGUGAGGCACAAGCAAAAGACUGCUUAUUUGGCAAGUGUUUGCAUGGAAUUUGACGCCCUAGUUAAGUUUUGAAGGCAGCUCCGAUGUAAAAAACUACAACAAAUUUAAAGGGGUCAAGCGCCAAAGAUCGUCUUCCAACCAAAAUUAGUAUCCUCAGUUGUUGGAGUUUCGAUAAAGAUGAAGUUGGAAAACUCAGAUAUACGGAGCAAUGGCAUCCUGAUAGGAGGACAAGAACACCUUCUCUUUUGGGUGAAGCCAAAUGUAAAUUUCUUCAGCAAAUCCAAAAGAGGCAUUCAGCAUUAUCCGAUCAGAGGAAAUGAACAAUGCAUGAUGCAGGAUCAUAUGAACCUUUAGACGAAAAAGAAGAAGAAGAAGACGAUGAUGAUGGUGAGGGUAAGUCAUGGGUGUAACGGAUUUUUUGUUUUUUCUCUUAAUAAAAUUCGAUG
Long non-coding RNA from Populus euphratica (Euphrates poplar), 1225 nucleotides. RefSeq lists it as uncharacterized. NCBI's taxonomy places the organism in Eukaryota, Viridiplantae, Streptophyta, Magnoliopsida, Malpighiales, Salicaceae. The record is from RefSeq and is a predicted model, not a curated record. The transcript has 4 exons.